Non-coding RNA from Salmo salar (Atlantic salmon), 173 nucleotides. Lineage: Eukaryota; Metazoa; Chordata; Actinopteri; Salmoniformes; Salmonidae. The record is from RefSeq and is a predicted model, not a curated record.
UUUGGCAUAAGCAGGAUUUAGCACUGAAUGAAAUGAAAAAAGAAAUCAUUCCAUUUCAGGCAGAGGGUAAAGUGCUUCUUUGUGGAGAUUUCAAUGCGAGAACAGGUUCUGGGCUGGACUACACUGAUGCGGGAGGAGAACGAUCGCCUUACGGCAAGGAUAGCUGUGCUGCA